AUGUCUCGCUCCAAGGCCGACCCAUCCGACGCCGGUUCCUUCGCCGGUGCCAUGUUCACCUCCGACCGCCUCAACGAGCUUUACAUCAAAGACCAUGUACCCGUCGUCCCCGACCUCGACUCGCCAUCGUACAACGCGUGGCGCACGUACUUCACGCUGCUGUUCCGCUCUUACCGUCUCAUCGAGCAUGUUGACGGGAGCGUCGACUUUCGCGACAUGAAGGACGAUGACGAGUGGCUGGCUGUGGACGCCUGCAUCGUCAAGUGGUUCUUCUUCACCAUCUCCGGCAGCCUCUUCAACAUGGUGAACUCCCGCGACCCGUCGGCGUACGCUAUGUGGACGCGGCUGUGUGACCUCUUCCUCGACAAUCAACUCCAACGCCGCGUCUUCCUUCAAGGGGAGUUCUUCACUAUGCAGCAAAACGAUCUUUCGAUCGAUGAGUACUGCACGUGGCUGAAGGUCCUCGCCGACGAGCUACGCCACGUCGGCAUGAACAUCGACGACUUCGUCCUCCUCACCAACCUCCUUCGGGGCCUCCACCCCGACCUCGGCCAGUCCGCCGCCAACCUCUCCCUCAUCACGCCGACGUACGCUAAGGCGGUCACUUACCUUCGCAUGGAGGAGAAGCGACUUCGUCACUCCACUCGGCAGGCGACCCACGCCGCGCUCCACGUCGGCCUCGCCGCCGGCACCGGCGCGCCUCCUGCCCCGACUACGCCACGUGCUCCUACUCCGACCCCGCCUCCCGCGCCCGCCCCCUCCGGUGGCCGCAAGCAGAAGGGCCGCGGGGGUCGAGCCUGCAACUCCAACGCCGUGCAGCGCCCGCCCGCGAACACCGCAGUCGCUCCUCCUCCACCGUGGUUGUCGGGGUACAAUCCCUGGACGGGUGUUGUACAUGCGUACUCCAUGCCCGUCCCUCGCCCUCCUGCUCCAGGCAUCCUCGGUCCGCGGCCGGCCUCUCAUCAGGCACUGCUGACCACGCCUGCCCACGGACCCGCGGCAUAUGGUGGUGCUACGCCCUAUGGCGGUUCGGCGGCAUAUGGUGGCCCCCCAGCUUAUGGCGCGUAUGGCGGAACCCACGGCGGUGUCUGGGAUCCCGCCCUCCUCUCCGCUCUUCAUGUCGCGCCCUCGCCGAGCAACUACAGCGGAGGUGGCGAUUGGUAUAUGGACACCGGCACUGCCGCUCACAUGGCUUCCAACCCCGGAUGCUCGCUCCCGGAGGGUUCUGCACCGAUGUGA
RNAcentral lists this ribosomal RNA (1239 nucleotides) under Triticum aestivum (bread wheat). RNAcentral describes it as "partial small subunit ribosomal RNA". The record is from RNAcentral. Lineage: Eukaryota; Viridiplantae; Streptophyta; Magnoliopsida; Poales; Poaceae.